ACUCCUAUAUGGGAGGCUAUCCCGGCUCUUAUUAUGGUUCCUCUGGUUAUCGGUUUCGCCGCGGCAGUUACUAAAGAUCCGUACUGCGGAUAGGAUUUUACGAUCUUUUGACAGAGAGUAAGUAAGAGAGGCUAUGGAAAAAUCCGAGAAGUGAAAAUUAUAUGUGUAAGAUCUGAAUAAAUAUUUGAGUAGUUGAA
Saccostrea cuccullata (small rock oyster) is the source of this 197-nucleotide long non-coding RNA. RefSeq lists it as uncharacterized. The transcript is spliced from 2 exons. Lineage: Eukaryota; Metazoa; Mollusca; Bivalvia; Ostreida; Ostreidae. The record is from RefSeq and is a predicted model, not a curated record.